This 115-nucleotide ribosomal RNA is filed under the name Pteropus alecto (black flying fox). Lineage: Eukaryota; Metazoa; Chordata; Mammalia; Chiroptera; Pteropodidae. The record is from RNAcentral.
GUCUAUGGCCAUGCUACCCUGAACGAGCCCGAUCCCCUCUGAUCUUGGAAGCUAAGCAGGGUCGGGCCUAGUUAGUACUUGGAUGAGAGACCAACUAGGAAAGAUGCUGUAGGUG